GGAAGGAUCAUUAUCGUACAAAAUGUGAGGGGCAUGUGAGGGCUGUCGCUGACUCAAAGUCGUGCACGCCCGAGUGUGUCCUCUCACAUAAUAAUCCAUCUCACCCUUUGUGCAUCGCCGCGUGAGCACCCUUUGGGAUCAUCUCGGAGGGGGCUCGCGUUUUCACACAAACCCCCCUUUUAAAAGUGUAGAAUGACCUCAUUUAUGCGCUAACACGCAAUCAAUACAACUUUCAACAACGGAUCUCUUGGCUCUCGCAUCGAUGAAGAACGCAGCGAAAUGCGAUACGUAAUGUGAAUUGCAGAAUUCAGUGAAUCAUCGAAUCUUUGAACGCACCUUGCGCCCCUUGGUAUUCCGAGGGGCACACCCGUUUGAGUGUCGUGAAAACCUCAACCUCCUUGGUUUCUUCUGGAGACCAAAGGCAGGCUUGGACUUUGGAGGCCUUUGCUGGAACCUCUCUCUUUUGAAGGCCAGCUCCUCUUAAACGAAUUAGCAGGGUCCUCUUU
Molecule: unclassified non-coding RNA, 506 nt
Filed under: uncultured fungus
Lineage: Eukaryota; Fungi
Description: sequence contains ITS1, 5.8S rRNA gene, ITS2 and 28S rRNA gene
Rfam family: 5.8S ribosomal RNA (bases 228-381)
Source: RNAcentral